ACCAAAAUAAGGAGCAAACGUGACUGCUGUAAAUCAGAGUCCCAUCUUUUUAAUCUGUUUCGGGAAAAAGCAUUUAGUUGUUCAUACUCAAAGCACGUCCUCGCUGUGAGAGAUUGGACAAGAUGCAGAGAUGUGGAGAAUCCGGAGGUGGCAUCUGAAGAGGAGCUGCAGACUGUUCUGUCUCAAGACAGCCACAGAACAUACUUCAGUGUCCAAAUCAUGGCACAUGCUUUAAAUGUUGCCUGUUCAUCUAGAUCAAAGCAGAUGUUGAUGGCGGGUGGAGGAGACCAGUUGGCAUGUCAAAGGCUACAGCCAUGGCAGGUAUUUCCUUUCCCUUUCUAGAAAUCAAAGUUCUUUCUACCAACUCUGCAAUAAUCAUUCUCAUUGAUUUAGACACGAAUGCAAUAUCAAGGUGGUCUACUGCAAUAAAAAACCUAAGACCAUAUAAUAAAAGUAUAAGAAGCGAAAACAAGUUAAAAGCAGACGUCCCUCCACCUGGAGGGUGUCUGUUUAGUCUUGCCAGUAGGAGAAGUUGUGGCACAACAGGAAUUUUGAGUUCCAAGGGAGCCGGGAUGAGGCAUCUAAAAUGCUUUCUAAGUUCUGGUGUUUAGUCCUCUGUAGAUUCCAACGAGGCCAGGUAUGCCAGGACUUUGGAGCUCAAAGGAAGCAGGGAUGAGAUGUCCAAAAUACUUUGAAAUGCUGGUGUUUUCCCUGUCAUUCCAGCUUCACCCUUUCUUAAGAGAAACCCGGUUGUUGAACACUUCCAU
Molecule: non-coding RNA, 767 nt
Organism: Podarcis lilfordi (Lilford's wall lizard)
Lineage: Eukaryota; Metazoa; Chordata; Lepidosauria; Squamata; Lacertidae
Source: the annotation of a GenBank genome assembly